UGAACUGUUCACACCACCCAGCUGCCACUC
RNAcentral lists this non-coding RNA (30 nucleotides) under Mus musculus (house mouse). Lineage: Eukaryota; Metazoa; Chordata; Mammalia; Rodentia; Muridae. The record is from RNAcentral.